UACGUAGGGUGCGAGCGUUAAUCGGAAUUACUGGGCGUAAAGCGUGCGUAGGCGGCCAACUAAGUCGGACGUGAAAUCCCUCAGCUUAACUGGGGAACUGCGUCCGAUACUGGAUGGCUUGGAUUUGGGAGAGGGAUGCGGAAUUCCAGGUGUAGCGGUGAAAUGCGUAGAUAUCGAGAGGAACACCUGCGGCGAAGGCGGGUUGCUGGGCUGACACUGACGCUGAUGCGCGAAAGCUAGGGGAGCGAACGGG
RNAcentral lists this ribosomal RNA (253 nucleotides) under uncultured bacterium. RNAcentral describes it as "partial 16S ribosomal RNA". It matches the Rfam family "Bacterial small subunit ribosomal RNA", at positions 524 to 776 of the family's 1533-position model. The record is from RNAcentral.